GAAACCUCAUCUUGCUCACGCGCCAUCCAGGUGCUGAGCAGUGUUUUUGCAAGAAAGCACAGACACUCCGCCUGGAUGAGGAGAGAAG
The submitters of this non-coding RNA (88 nucleotides) gave its source as unclassified sequences. The record is from Rfam.